AUUGAACGCUGGCGGCAGGCCUAACACAUGCAAGUCGAGCGAGCGGCGGACGGGAGAGUAAUGUAGGGGGAUCUGCCCGAUAGAGGGGGAUAACUACUGGAAACGGAGGCUAAUCCCGCAUACUAUCGGAUGAACCCGUAUGGGAUUAGCUGGUGGGUGGGGUAAAGGCUCACCUAGGCGACGAGCACUAGCGGGUCUGAGAGGAUGAUCAGCACAACUGGAAUGGAGAACCGGCCAGGACUCCUACGGGAGGCAGAAUUGGGGAAUUUUGGCCAAGGGGCGCAGUCCUGAUGCAGCCAUGCCGCGUGUAUGAAGAAGGUCUUAGGGUUGUAAAGUACUUUCAGCGAGGAGGCGUUACCCACAGAGAAAGCACCGGCUAACUCCGUGCCAGCAGCCGCGGUAAUUC
Molecule: ribosomal RNA, 406 nt
Filed under: uncultured bacterium
Lineage: Bacteria
Description: partial 16S ribosomal RNA
Rfam family: Bacterial small subunit ribosomal RNA
Source: RNAcentral